UUUAUGGAGAGUUUGAUCCUGGCUCAGGAUGAACGCUGGCGGCGUGCCUAAUACAUGCAAGUCGAGCGAACGGACGAGAAGCUUGCUUCUCUGAUGUUAGCGGCGGACGGGUGAGUAACACGUGGAUAACCUACCUAUAAGACUGGGAUAACUUCGGGAAACCGGAGCUAAUACCGGAUAAUAUUUUGAACCGCAUGGUUCAAAAGUGAAAGACGGUCUUGCUGUCACUUAUAGAUGGAUCCGCGCUGCAUUAGCUAGUUGGUAAGGUAACGGCUUACCAAGGCAACGAUGCAUAGCCGACCUGAGAGGGUGAUCGGCCACACUGGAACUGAGACACGGUCCAGACUCCUACGGGAGGCAGCAGUAGGGAAUCUUCCGCAAUGGGCGAAAGCCUGACGGAGCAACGCCGCGUGAGUGAUGAAGGUCUUCGGAUCGUAAAACUCUGUUAUUAGGGAAGAACAUAUGUGUAAGUAACUGUGCACAUCUUGACGGUACCUAAUCAGAAAGCCACGGCUAACUACGUGCCAGCAGCCGCGGUAAUACGUAGGUGGCAAGCGUUAUCCGGAAUUAUUG
This 573-nucleotide ribosomal RNA is filed under the name Staphylococcus aureus. RNAcentral's name for it is "bacterial SSU rRNA". It matches the Rfam family "Bacterial small subunit ribosomal RNA", at positions 1 to 556 of the family's 1533-position model. Lineage: Bacteria; Bacillati; Bacillota; Bacilli; Caryophanales; Staphylococcaceae. The record is from RNAcentral.